This 493-nucleotide ribosomal RNA is filed under the name uncultured bacterium. Its description in RNAcentral is "bacterial SSU rRNA". It matches the Rfam family "Bacterial small subunit ribosomal RNA", at positions 33 to 507 of the family's 1533-position model. The record is from RNAcentral.
GGACGACGCUGGCGGUGUGCUUAACACAUGCAAGUGGAGCGACGAACCAGAGCUUGCUCUGGGGCAGAGCCGCGAACGGGUGAGUAACACGUGGGUAACGUACCCCGAUUACCCGGGGACAACCCGAGGAAACUCGGGCUAAUACCGGAUGUGCUCCUCCCCAUGAGGGGAGUGAGUAAAGGAAGCUUCGGCCUCCGAAUCGGGAGCGGCCCGCGGCCUAUUAGUUGUUGGUGGGGUAACGGCCUACCAAGACUGCGAUAGGUAGCUGGUCUGAGAGGACGAUCAGCCACACUGGGACUGAGACACGGCCCAGACUCCUACGGGAGGCAGCAGUGGGGAAUCUUGCGCAAUGCGCGAAAGCGUGACGCAGCAACACCGCGUGGGGGAAGACGGCCUUCGGGUUGUAAACCCCUUUCAGGAGGGACGAAGGCCGGCCGGUGAAUAGCCGUGCCGGUUGACGGUACCUCCACAAGAAGCCCCGGCUAACUACGUG